GCUCAUCAAGAGUGGCGGAGGGAAUGGCCCAAUGAACCCACAGCAACCAUGGCGUAAGCCAACGGUGCUAAAUCCUACAAUGCGGUUUUUCGAUUGUGAGAUGAGA
RNAcentral lists this non-coding RNA (106 nucleotides) under Acidaminococcus hominis. RNAcentral's name for it is "SAM riboswitch (S box leader)". It matches the Rfam family "SAM riboswitch aptamer (S box leader)". Rfam says of the family: The SAM riboswitch is found upstream of a number of genes which code for proteins involved in methionine or cysteine biosynthesis in Gram-positive bacteria. The SAM riboswitch acts at the level of transcription termination control. The predicted structure consists of a complex stem-loop region followed by a single stem loop terminator region. The record is from RNAcentral. Lineage: Bacteria; Bacillati; Bacillota; Negativicutes; Acidaminococcales; Acidaminococcaceae.